This is a long non-coding RNA of Pongo pygmaeus (Bornean orangutan), 7627 nucleotides long. RefSeq lists it as uncharacterized. The record is from RefSeq and is a predicted model, not a curated record. The transcript is spliced from 4 exons. NCBI's taxonomy places the organism in Eukaryota, Metazoa, Chordata, Mammalia, Primates, Hominidae.
AUUUUUAUUUUUAUUGAUUACUGUAUGAUCAGUUUUGGUGAACACAUUUUGUUUUAUUCACUUUAGUUUGAUCUGAUGCAAUUUCAGUGGCUUCAUGGAUUUGAGUACACAGGGCUCCAGGCUUGUAGACAUUCUAAUCUUGUGUGACUCCCUUUAACCCCAUUCCUGCAAAUCUGCUUGAGGAAAAACUAUGAAGAACCUUCUUCCUCAAACAACAAACACAGUUACUAAAGUGAUAGAGGGAUCUCUGAUUAGCAGCUUUUCUCUGUUGGUGUUGAAAUUUGGUUAAUGCUCAUACUUCUUAUUCCUUAUCUCUCUAGAAAGGGGAACUUUAGUAGAGCUAUAAUUUAGUACUGUGGGGUGUAACCUGCUGUUAAUGUCUGCCAGGUCACUGGAAGAUCUUCUUCAUUAUACUCUUAGCGUUUUGUGACAACUUUUGAACAGGUUCUUUAAAUAAAUGUGUAUUCCUAGAUGCUUUAGGGAUUGAGAGAUCCUUUUCACACUGCUACAAAGAAAGAUUCUCUAAAUUCCAAAGGGCAUUCAUUCUCCCCUUAAUUCUCCUCUCCUCUCCUUUUGGUUUUCUUUUCACUCAAUAGUUAGACCAGUGCACCUUUCACAAGAAUACACUCAAGUUUCAAGAUCUGUACCUUCUUUAACUUAUGUACAUGUAUGUUUAUAGGGAUCUGGUUGAAGAGAAGGAGGUCAAGGCAGAAACACCUAGCUCCCAGAGGGUUACUUGGAGGACCAGAGGUUUUAGGAAAUACGGUGUGUCUCAAUCUGUCUGCAAGUUUCCAUACCAAAGUGAGUAACCAUGGAUAAGGAGUAAAUUGCUGUUUCUAACUUUUAACUUGCAAAUAAGCACUCAACAUUACACUUUUCAGGAGACUUAGAGCUGGUUUUGUUGACGUGACCCAUCCAUUAGUUAAAAACAUGUUUUAAGGAGGUUUUUUUUUUAAACUCAUAGUAUAGCUUUUAGAAUUAUGACUAGUGAAUUACUGUGGGGUUUUAAAUAUGGGGCAAACCUGAAAUCAUUUUCAUCAUUAGAACCAAGCUGUUCUUUUCUGCUAAAGAAGGAGGGCUAAGGAGAAGGGCAUAGUAGAGAUGGAUCUUAUACUCUCAUUGAUUAAAAAACAACAAACAAAUAAAAAGACAAGAGCAGACAUGGAUUUUUGUUCUUCCCCAUCCCCUCAUGUUCACAUAAAUGAGGGUUGGGAGAAGUUGCAUUUCGUAACAGAGCUCCUAAUCUUGCUUUUCUCCUAGGGCACGUCUGUGAUUCCUCCAGCUUUUCUUUCAAGUCCCUUUUCACCCCAAUCCUCUUCUCCUUGAUUUUUAUUUCAUAAAUAGGAAUAAAGUGGCAUAUGUUUUCUGAUCAUGAAAAGGAUAUCAUUUUAUAAUUUUGACAAUAGUAGAACAUCUAAAAUGCACAUUUCUGUAGGAUCAGCAAGCCCUCGAAAUCAGUAGAGCUCCCUACUUGUGUCUCUAGUGAAAGGGGUAGCUUCUCAUCUUAUCUUUUCUGAGAAACAUUAAGAAGUCCUCCCAAGCCUGCCGCAAUGGCAUUGGUUGGGUAUAGUCAUGGACUUGAUCAAGAGGCAGCUAUAUAAUGGCAAAAAGAGGAGACUCACGUGAAAUAUCCACAUCCCAUGCAGAAGGGGAGAUUUGGGGGCGACUACGUGAAACUUCAACACUGAUUUUUCUAAAAGCUUAAGAAGAGCAGUGUCAUCUUGCUUGGUAUGUACCCUAUGGAGAAAGGAUAGCUUUGCCCCUGGGAAAGUUAGAUCAUGAGCAAUCUAAGAUGAUCUCACUCAGUUAUUUAGGGGCUUGAACUUGAUGGGACAUAGGGAAGGCAGUUACUGUUCAACGGUUCAUAGCUGGUCCGGUGGAUUAAUUGCCAGAGAAAGCAGAAGCAAACCCUUGGAGAAUAUACUUUUAUCUCCAAACUUAGGAAUAACUGGAAGCUCAUUUAAACUGGGAGCAUUUCACCCUCCACACCAAGAAAAGAUAACUUCCCUCAAGGGGAUCUGGUGAAUGAAGCAGCGUAUUUUCAUCCUUGUGAUAAUGGGUGUGAGUCAGGCACUACCAUAAAAGAAGAAUUAACUUGAAUGCGCCACAUACUUGGUCUGGCCUUGUCCCAUACCUGUACUCUUGUCAUGGUUGAUUACCUAUGUACAUCAGAUAUAAAGCAAGCAGUCUGCAUUGUGGCAUGAGAUAAAAGGUAUGUUAAUAUGCUCAGGUCACAUAUUAUCUUGCCCAAUAGUAAUUUUAUAUCAUUUGCUUAAAGGAAACUGCACUUAUUGCAAUAUUUUUUUCCAAUGAAGAAAAAUUUAACAUGACUGAAACUUUACAUGUAACCUUGCAUUUGAGUAACAGCAUUGAAUCCUCUCCAUCUCAAACAGAACUUUUAAAUAUUUUUAUUACUUUUGAUAUGCAAAAGCUAAGGAGAAAUGGUUUGGAAGACCUAAGUUAAAUUUCUAAUGAGUCUUGUUUCUUUAAUAGGGGAGAAUUUUAUACAGCUUCGAUGAGUUUUUUCUUUCUACAUGAGAUAAUAUAAACAAACAAAAAAAUAAAAAAGUGAAACAUUUCUCUUCUUACUUUAAGAACCUUAAGGGCUAAAAGAGUGGUUUGGUUUCCUGACUGGCACUUUUGGUUUGCCUUCUCUAAGUGGUCUUGAGCAAUUCCCCAGAGGAAACAUUUGAAGAGGGUUUUUCUCCCACUUGAGAGAGUUUCAUCCCACACAACCCGCAGAAUUUAAUGGCAAACUUCAUGGACCAAGUGUCUGGUUUUACAGAAGUGGCUGUGGAGUAUGUUUUUCCUUUCACAGGUGCACAUUUAUUCUACCUUAGGAAUAAGAAGAGAUCAUUUUAUUUUAAAGAGGGUAGCUUAAACAUUGAAUAUCUCUAAUAAUUGGAUGCCAGUCAGGUAGGUUGUAAUUUACUAAAUGAGGGGAAAAAAAGGUGGAAAGAAGGAUUAAAACUUCCAAAGCCUUUCUCGCUGAUCUUUCUUCACAACCAUCUGGUGUGCACAGAAGUAUUGUAUAAUCUGGCCUCUAUUAUUCUCUUACUGUGAAAUAUAUUGAAAUGCUUUAUGUUUAGGUGUGUGUACAGAAAUUCAUGAAGUUCUUUUAUACACUUUCUUAGUUCCAUCACAAUUCUCAUUUUAGGAUGUCGUGAAAAGAUAGCCUGGUGAGAGAGCACAUUUUACCCUGGCUUGUAAAUUUGGAUUUGUUCCUUCCUAUCUACCAGCCACCUGAUUACUUACUGUCCCCGUGCAAAGGCACCCGUUCACAUCAUUUUUUUCCAAGCGCUAAAACCUGGAAAGAUAUUUUUUUAAAGGACUCACAGAAGCUGUCUUGGGGGUUUGGAAAACAUCACAAAAUUGUUAGCAGACCUUUUGACUGUGCUAUUUUUAGGAAGUUAACUGUGUUCUUUUAAAGUACAUUUUUGACAAUGGGACAACGUUUUCCUUGUCCCCACUGAUGUGUGAAAUAUGUACAGUGAAAACCGUCAGUACAACACCCCAAACAGAUACAUUUUAAACUCAGCAACAGUGAGCAACAGGAGAAAAAGUGAUUUAAAAAGAGAAAGGUUUCGCAAUAUUUAUGCUGCUGUUUCUUCCCUGAGGGAGCUUUUAUUUUACCAUUCAAACAGAAGUUUGUUUUCAAACCAGUUGCUAGUUAAAGGAGCAGCGGAUCGCGCAUCCCUAAGAAUCAGCUCUAACCAAACAGCAAACGCGUUGGCCAGAGGGUGACUUAUUCCCCCAUAGCAACUCCUGAACUAUUUCAUACCAUAACACCCAGAACCCAUAUCAACUGCCAUCAUCAAACAGCGAAAAAGACCCUAAGAAACUCAGUGAGUGAUAAAAUAACAGAACAGAAAACAAACUUCCUGAACACAGAAAAUGAAGUCUCCCUGAAGGAAGGCAAAAGAUAAAAAAGAGAGACUAAAAUGAAGCCAGAAUGGACUGAAUGUCACAGCGUUUAUAACCCACACUGUGGCCGCAAGAAGAGAGUCAAAGAAAAGAUGAUGCUCCCCGCCAUUCCUCAGUGGCUGAAGUGCGUGGCCGGUCAUCAUUCGCUGAGCCCUUACUAGUGAGAUAUUGAGAAUCCGAGAGGUUAAAUUACUUCAAAAUCAAACAAAAAACUAAUCGUAAAACUGGGAUUUAACCCUCAAAGCCUCAACUCCGAAGUUCAAGCUUUACCCCAGGGCCUUAAGACACAGGAACUAGCAUCAGAAAUGUCUCAAAAACAUGAUGCUAUUUGGUUUCUACGUGCUUUAACUCAGCCCACAUCAGCAGCCUCUGUGCUGGAGCAGAAAUGGAAGGAAAAUUCCUGGGACUUUAGUGCUUCCUGCAGCCAGGCUCAGGCCCUUUUCUUCUACAGAUUCUGGGAUGCAAAAAUCAUACUUCUGCUCCAAAAGGAGAAAAUGUGGCUUGCAAUGAGAAUGUAAGUCUCAAGGAGGUAAAGAUGUGAAUCUCUCACUAGUUUCUGCCUCUCCCCAUCCUCCUCACUCACUUCCUACUUCCCAGCAUCAAAGAGCAUGUAAGAAAGGACAACAUUUGGAGGGGCAGGGCUCUUCAGCCCCUGCUUUGCUCUUUUCUAGGUACCUCUUCUUCCUUGAAAACCGUUGCCCCUUUUAUCAAUGUGACACAGCCUUUUGAAAACAGACUCCUUGUUCUUGGAGCUUGGCAGGGAAAAAAAGGCAAGAAUUCAUUUGCAGGUGAGCUAAUUAUUGUAUCCUGUAAGGAUGGCUACACUACAGCACUGACUGUGGCAUUUGCUGUUUAUUAAGUAUGAUAGUUUAUAAAUGACACUGAUUGGAAUGAAGCAACUUAUAAAGCAUGUCUCAAAACAGAAGGAUUUUAUCCCAGAUAGAUAAGAUAGUUAAUUCCCCUUCCUCUUAUUACUUUCCCCUGUGUCUAUGAACACACUGACUAACUUUUCCCUAUAGCUUGGCACAAUACAUGAGUAGAGGAGGCGAUAUGGAAGGAUAAAAACAUUACUCAGGCACACGCUAUGAAAGUUUCUAACAGUUGGCAAGACUCAGUCUGACCUUUAUGUUGAAUUUUGCCAUAGUUUUAAUCACUUUACCAUCACUUGCAGGAGAGAAAGCAUCGUUAAAAAUGCCCUAUUUAGGGAAAACUUCAGAGCCAAGACUAGGUGUAUGUUCUCAUUAUUUCACAUGUUGUCAGAGUAACCAGUACAGUGAAAAGACAGCCUUUUGAAGAAAACAAGUUUGUGGAAAGUGCUUAAUUAAGGUAGGAGGACAUUUUAUUGCAAUUAUUUAUAUUUGUUAUUAAUAUUUUUGACAUUUCACAUUUAUGCAGCAAUAAAUACAAUAUAUGUGAGUUUAUUGCAUCCAAAACUUUACUUCUAAUUUCCUACCACUGUAUGCCAAAGCCCUUGUAAAUUCUAUGUCUUUUGCAAGAACUUUUGGACUAUCUACUGUAUUCUUUAUGUUUCUGUGUAGUUGGCCGAUUUUUUUACUAUAACUGGGAUCUCAUUUGCAAAAAUUAUUAACUGACAUAUAGCAUGUUAAAAGAUUUUCUAAUGUGUUUGUUGAUCAAAGGUGAGCUUAACUUUUUCUCUGUAUGACGACUAACACCCAUAGGAUAAAGCGUUUGAUUUUAUAGUGAUCAUUACUACCAUCAUUCAUUUUAUUUACUGUUCUUUUUCCUAAUUUUGAAAAUAUCAAGCCUGUAGAAAAGUUGCAAUAAGGGCCCUUCAAUUAGAUUUACUAGUUGUUAACAUUCAGUUGUUUGGAAGUUAAUUGCAGACAUCAUGACACUCACUGCCAAAUACUUCAACAUUUCUCUCCUUAAAGGAGAACAUUCUCCCACAAACCACAAUAUAAGUAUCACUAAAAUAAUUAACAUUGAUAUAAUGCAAUUAUCUAAACCCAGUACAUAUUCAAAUUUCCAGAGAUGUCCCAAUGAAAUCUUUCUUUCAUACCCCUCCUUUCAGAAUCCAAUAAAGAAUCAUACGUUACACUUAGUUUUCAAGUCUGUCUAUCCCCCUUUAAUCUAAAGUAGUUCCUAGCUUUUAAAAAAUUUCAUCAUACUAAUAUUUUUAGAGUCCAAACCAUUGUUUUACACACUAUCCCCUAAAAUGAGUAUUUUCUCAUAAUUAAAUUCAGGUGAAACAUUUAUGGCAGGACUAAUACACAGGUGAUGCUGUGUCCUUCACAGAACAGCCUAUCAGAAGUACACGAUGUCAGUGUAUCCCAGUUUGGAGAAUUUAGCUUGAUUACUUGGUUAAGGCAUGUCUGCUGAAUUUCUUCAUUGUAAAGAUGCUCUUUUCUUUUCGUGAUUAAAUAAUCUGUGGAAUAAUAUCUUGCUCUCCAAUGAUUCUAACCCUGAUGGUUUUGGUAUCCAUGAAUUCAUACUGCUUGAAUCAAUCAUUACUACAGUGUCAGCAAAUGAUUUUCUAAUUUCAUCAUUUCUUCCAUGUUUACUAGUUAUGUUUCUAUAAAAAAGAGCUUUUCAUUCAUUUUCUCUUCAACACUUGAAAUUACUAUUUUGAGGUAUCAUUAAGAGCUAUUAAUUGCAAAGGAGUACAGUUGAGUUUUCACUUGUCAUGUAACCGGGUUCAGAAUAAAUUCUUUGAAACUAUUGGCCUAGUUUAUUAGAGAUUCCUUCUUUGUUUAAUGUAUUAUAAUUUAUUCCACUUAUUAUUUGUUAUAAUGCACAAAUUGUCCCAAAUUUGGCAGUGGAAGCCCUGCUAAGCUCUGCUAUUCAUUUCAAUUGCCCUAUCCACUUAACUUCAUAAUUGGAAAUUGGUUUUCAAGACAUUUUUAAAUAAACAGUAGUCCAGUUGUUUGUAGUGAUACUUCAACCCCCUUAUCAACUUUAUUUUUACCUGUGAAAAGUCAUAUAAUGUUUGAGCUCCAACAUGUCAAGAACUUGGAAGUUUUCACUCCUGUCAUUAUAAGAUAAAAAUUAAACAUACUGAACACCAUGACCUUUCUCAGGCCUAGUAGAGGCCUGAGAUCAUAUGUUGAAUUGUCACCUCCAAACCAGGCAAAUUCAGAAUUACUACCAAGAUCUGCUUGCCUGGAGCAGAAGUCCCAGCAAUAAAUUUAUAGCAACACUUAUAUGGCAAACUUGAUGAAUUGUAUAUGCUGAGUGUAGAUGAGCAUAUGGAUGAGAAACUCCUAAGGAAUACAGUGUUAGCCUUCCCAUCCCCCACCACUUUCUUGGGCUUUACCUUCAGGAACUCCACCAGACUCUUAUGGUAGAGUCAAGAAAGAUUCCCUUGUAGCUUUGGCACAAGGGGAAAAAAGUGACUUACCCAAAGCAAUCACCAUACAAAGGCUCACCCUCCAAGGUAAAAGAUAUUACUGGAGCCUUAUCCUAACUGGGAAAAGAGCAUCUACUCCUCUCUAGCUCUUUCUAGCCACCUUGUUUCAUAUAAGUGGUAAGUAAAGCUAAGAAAUACUUGUUAAGGUCACAGCUGAGUGACACAGGCCCAUGUAAAGACUGAGAUUUAAUUGUAAAAUUAUAGAAUGUUCCUUCCCCCCACCCCAACACCUUACCAACACACCAACACACUAACAGAACACAGUAUAACAAAGAAUUACAGCUGAAAGAGGCACAAGACACAGACUCUCUCUGAGGAGGAGUUCUUAGGGAAACC